UGCAGUCACCUGUAAUAGAUGUUGGUCCACC
This 31-nucleotide non-coding RNA is filed under the name Homo sapiens (human). The record is from RNAcentral. Lineage: Eukaryota; Metazoa; Chordata; Mammalia; Primates; Hominidae.